RNAcentral lists this ribosomal RNA (253 nucleotides) under uncultured bacterium. Its description in RNAcentral is "partial 16S ribosomal RNA". It matches the Rfam family "Bacterial small subunit ribosomal RNA", at positions 524 to 776 of the family's 1533-position model. The record is from RNAcentral.
UACGUAGGGGGCAAGCGUUGUCCGGAUUCAUUGGGCGUAAAGAGCGUGUAGGCGGCCAGGUAGGUCGGUUGUGAAAACUGGAGGCUCAACCUUCAGAGGUCGACCGAAACCAUCUGGCUAAAGUCCGGGAGAGGAGAGUGGAAUUCCUGGUGUAGCGGUGAAAUGCGCAGAUAUCAGGAAGAACACCGGUGGCGAAGGCGGGUCUCUGGGCAACAACUGACGCUGAGGAGCGAAAGCGUGGGGAGCGAACAGG